GUAUUUUUUUCCUUAGAGAUAAAACACUAAAGCAAGUCAUGUUCUUUCCCCAUCUAGUUCGUCCUCCAUCCACGCCCCUUCUCUUCUCUCUCUUCUGUUUUUUUUUCUUUCUCUUCCUAAGACUAAGAACUAUUACGAGUUUUGGAGUUGUGUGAAUUUGUAUUACCACUUUUUGAGGUAAUAUUCUAGUUCAGUACCGCUUCAAAUAAUGCCCUAAAAAUAUAUUUUCAAGAUCUGCUUCAGGAUGCAGAUCUGUUCUGUUUUCUUCUUCUUGCCUCCGUCCUUAAAUUCUAGGAUUUUAUUUUUCACAUCUACAAUUCAUUUUGGGACGAUGUUAGUCUUAUUUGGUAGAGUUCGUGUAAUUUUAUUAGCUCCUAUGGAUGACGAAAAGCGUAAGAAGUGUGAAGGUUGGAGGCGUAUUUCACUAGAUUCAUAGAAGUCAGUUCUAUGUGAUUGAAGAUGGAUAGUAGCUGGGAGGCAUGAUUGCUGAAAAAUUUGAUAUUUUUGAAGCUCAAGAAAUUUUAGAUUUAUAGCACUUAUAAAUUCUACAAUGAGGAGAUUCUCCUUCAUGAAUUUGGCUUUAGAAACUAGCAGCUUAUUCUUGAAAUUUUGUAAGAGAGGAUGUUCUCUUAUACCAAAAGUAAUAUUGGAGGUUAGGCUUGAAGUCCCCCUCCUCUUGUACAUCUGAACCAGUUUUUACAUGGAAUAAAGAAUAUUCCUAUUCAAAUAA
Molecule: long non-coding RNA, 730 nt
Organism: Nicotiana tabacum (common tobacco)
Lineage: Eukaryota; Viridiplantae; Streptophyta; Magnoliopsida; Solanales; Solanaceae
Source: RefSeq, a predicted model, not a curated record